UACGAAGGGGGCUAGCGUUGUUCGGAUUUACUGGGCGUAAAGCGCACGUAGGCGGAUUGUUAAGUCGGGGGUGAAAUCCUGGAGCUCAACUUCAGAAUUGCCUUCGAUACUGGCUUUCUAGAGGCUGGAAGAGGUUAGUGGAAUUCCCAGGGUAGAGGUGAAAUUCGUAGAUAUUGGGAAGAACACCAGUGGCGAAGGCGGCUAACUGGUCCAGAUCUGACGCUGAGGUGCGAAAGCGUGGGGAGCAAACAGG
RNAcentral lists this ribosomal RNA (253 nucleotides) under uncultured bacterium. RNAcentral's name for it is "partial 16S ribosomal RNA". It matches the Rfam family "Bacterial small subunit ribosomal RNA", at positions 524 to 776 of the family's 1533-position model. The record is from RNAcentral.